Molecule: ribosomal RNA, 497 nt
Filed under: uncultured bacterium
Lineage: Bacteria
Description: partial 16S ribosomal RNA
Rfam family: Bacterial small subunit ribosomal RNA
Source: RNAcentral
GGUGAACGCUGGCGGCGUGCCUAAUACAUGCAAGUCGAGCGAACAGAUGAGGAGCUUGCUCCUCUGACGUUAGCGGCGGACGGGUGAGUAACACGUGGAUAACCUACCUAUAAGACUGGGAUAACUUCGGGAAACCGGAGCUAAUACCGGAUAAUAUAUUGAACCGCAUGGUUCAAUAGUGAAAGACGGUUUUGCUGUCACUUAUAGAUGGAUCCGCGCCGCAUUAGCUAGUUGGUAAGGUAACGGCUUACCAAGGCAACGAUGCGUAGCCGACCUGAGAGGGUGAUCGGCCACACUGGAACUGAGACACGGUCCAGACUCCUACGGGAGGCAGCAGUAGGGAAUCUUCCGCAAUGGGCGAAAGCUUGACGGAGCAACGCCGCGUGAGUGAUGAAGGUCUUCGGAUCGUAAAACUCUGUUAUUAGGGAAGAACAAAUGUGUAAGUAACUAUGCACGUCUUGACGGUACCUAAUCAGAAAGCCACGACUAACUACGUG